This 492-nucleotide ribosomal RNA is filed under the name uncultured bacterium. Its description in RNAcentral is "partial 16S ribosomal RNA". It matches the Rfam family "Bacterial small subunit ribosomal RNA", at positions 29 to 507 of the family's 1533-position model. The record is from RNAcentral.
AGUGAACGCUGGCGGUAGGCCUAACACAUGCAAGUCGAACGGCAGCACAGUAAGAGCUUGCUCUUACGGGUGGCGAGUGGCGGACGGGUGAGGAAUACAUCGGAAUCUACUUUUUCGUGGGGGAUAACGUAGGGAAACUUACGCUAAUACCGCAUACGACCUACGGGUGAAAGCAGGGGAUCUUCGGACCUUGCGCGAUUGAAUGAGCCGAUGUCGGAUUAGUUAGUUGGCGGGGUAAAGGCCCACCAAGGCGACGAUCCGUAGCUGGUCUGAGAGGAUGAUCAGCCACACUGGAACUGAGACACGGUCCAGACUCCUACGGGAGGCAGCAGUGGGGAAUAGUGGACAAUGGGCGCAAGCCUGAUCCAGCCAUACCGCGUGGGUGAAGAAGGCCUUCGGGUUGUAAAGCCCUUUUGUUGGGAAAGAAAAGCAGCAGGUUAAUACCCCGCUGUUCUGACGGUACCCAAAGAAUAAGCACCGGCUAACUUCGUG